CCUACGGGGGGCAGCAGUGGGGAAUAUUGGGCAAUGGAGGCAACUCUGACCCAGCAAUGCCGCGUGAGUGAUGAAGGUAAUUCUAUUGUUAAGCUCUUUUCUUUGGAACGAAUAUAUGACGGUACCUAAGGAAUAAGGCCUGGCUAACUACGUGACAGCAGCCGCGGUCAUACGUAGGGGGCAAGCGUUGUUCGGAAUGACUGGGCGUAAAGGGUGUGUUGGUGGUUUGGUAAGUUAGAGGUGUAAUACCGAGGGCUUAAAUCGGGUGCUGCAUCUAAAACUGUUAGACUUGAGUACUGGAGAGGAUAGUGGAAUUCCUGGUGUAGCGGUGAAAUGCGUAGAUAUUAGGAGGAACAUCAGGGGCGAAGGCGGCUAUCUGGACAGCAACUGACGCUGAGGCACGAAAGCGUGGGGAGCGAACAGGAUUAGAUACCCCAGUAGUC
RNAcentral lists this ribosomal RNA (443 nucleotides) under uncultured bacterium. RNAcentral's name for it is "partial 16S ribosomal RNA". It matches the Rfam family "Bacterial small subunit ribosomal RNA", at positions 338 to 795 of the family's 1533-position model. The record is from RNAcentral.